CCCUUAGAUGUCCUGGGCCGCACGCGCGCUACACUGAGUGUCUGAGAUACGAGUCUGCCUGGUCCGGCAAGGUCUAGGUAAUCGCUAAAAGACACAUCAUGCUUGGGAUAGAUUAUUGCAAAUAUUAAUCUUGAACGAGGAAUUCCUAGUAAGCGCAAGUCAACAGCUUGCGUUGAUUACGUCCCUGCCCUUUGUACACACCGCCCGUCGCUACUACUGAUUGGAUGUUUAGGCGAGGUUCUCGAACUGCUAGCGACUUAGCUUCGGUGAGGUCGCAGUGUGGGAAGUGAACCGAGCUUUGGUGUCUAGAGGAAGUAAAAGUCGUAACA
RNAcentral lists this ribosomal RNA (329 nucleotides) under uncultured eukaryote. Its description in RNAcentral is "partial 18S ribosomal RNA". It matches the Rfam family "Eukaryotic small subunit ribosomal RNA", at positions 1470 to 1796 of the family's 1831-position model. The record is from RNAcentral.